UCCCCCCAGGAUGCUGACGGGGGUCAGGGGCUUCGUGCUGGACUUUGUUUUCCUAGGCUGGGGCUCAGCCUCCACCUGUGGGAGAAGCUGCCCUCCACACUCCUGCAAAUCCUGCUGGGACACUCAGGCUCUCCAUUCCGGGGCUCUGCAGCUCCCGUGCAAACCCAUCCAUCACUGUGUCCCCUCUCACAUGGAUAUCAAGGAAAUGACACAGCAAUGUCCAGAAAACCUGAACUUGAUUAACUUGACUGCUCUAAAAAUCUGCAGCUGGGGGGUAAUUGGAAGACUACGGGGUGAGAACCUUAUGCCUCCAAAAAGGGUCAAGAGUUUGGAACUGGAACACUCAGGGAAACUUCAGCUUCUGGGGGAAAAGGUGGCUGGGAGCUCUGCGGCUGAGGAUGUGGGGCUUCACUAACAAUGGGAAAGGAGGGGAGAAGGGGUAAAAGGGGAGGUUUAGGAGCCCUAAACGUGGCGUGAGGGGGGUGGGUCAUCCCCAAACUGAGCCAAGGGGAGCAGGGAUUUGGGAGGACUAUGGGAAAGGGGUGGGAGAGGGGGGAUAAAAGGAGGGGGGACAGUGGGAAAGUGUCCCCACCACUUGAAUCCCUGGAGCGAUUCUUUGGGGCUUGCGGGGGAGGGGGGAUGGAUCCGCACUGGAGGGGUCCCCAAGCCCCCUGCCCAUCCCUGGGGGGCUCAUGGGGGAUUCCCCCACCCAACACCCAGUGCUGCAGGGGGCGGGGGGGGGAGGGGGUAAGAAAUAAGGGACCGGGUGGGCACAGAGGAGGAGCGGGGGGAGGAAGAGGAAGAAGAGAGGAGGAGGAGCAGCAGGAAGAGGAGGAGCAGGACGAGGAGCCGAAGGAGACGCACGACGUUCGCUGCCCGCUCUCCGCCGCAGCCUCGGGAGCAUCGUCUCCCCUACAUCCCGCAGGAUUUGUCAUUCCCAAGGCGUGGCCAGAUGGAGGAGGAGGA
This is a long non-coding RNA of Corvus hawaiiensis (hawaiian crow), 966 nucleotides long. RefSeq lists it as uncharacterized. NCBI's taxonomy places the organism in Eukaryota, Metazoa, Chordata, Aves, Passeriformes, Corvidae. The transcript is spliced from 3 exons. The record is from RefSeq and is a predicted model, not a curated record.